This is a non-coding RNA of Pelobates cultripes (western spadefoot toad), 219 nucleotides long. NCBI's taxonomy places the organism in Eukaryota, Metazoa, Chordata, Amphibia, Anura, Pelobatidae. The record is from the annotation of a GenBank genome assembly.
GGCUGCUUUAGCAAUGCAGGAAAAUAUGAAUUACUGUUGUCUGCAAUUUGUGAGUUAAAGAAACUGAUGCUACAUUGCUCACCAGGAUUCCUAAAUAAUGAAUUGUUCUGUAGACCAUGAGGAUCAUUUAUCAAAGACUAGAAGGGUGGCAAAACACUCAAAUGACACAAAUUGCAAUUGACCCCAAUAUCAUUGAGUGACACGCAUAAUCAAUGUUCA